GAUCCCAAACAAAUUAAAUUAUCAUUUGGAUCGCGUUUCGUUCAAUCACGGUUCAACUUGUUUUAUUUCAGCCGACGUAUUAUAUAUAUUAGGGACUUUAAGAUUGACGUUUACGGCAAACCGCAAACGGCAAACUUCAAAUCGUAAUUUGAAGUCAACUGUUAGCUGUUCGAAUUUAGAGCAACUUGUGCAUAAAAAUUAACAAUUAUAACUACAUCAGUAAUUAUAAUCAAAAUCGAAUCUGCAUGCGAUAGCUUUUAUAGCUUUUACGUUACAUGAAAUCAAACCGAGUCCAGUGCUUUUUGGGACACCG
Non-coding RNA from Paramuricea clavata, 313 nucleotides. Lineage: Eukaryota; Metazoa; Cnidaria; Anthozoa; Malacalcyonacea; Plexauridae. The record is from the annotation of a GenBank genome assembly.